UACUUUGCACAGUGGCAAUGUCGUAACUAAUAAGGUGCAUCCGAGGUUCAUUAUUGCUUAUUGAAAACGUUUGCCAACACCCCGCAGUGGGGGCGUGAAAUAUCCCCACACCGACAAUUUCUGGACAAUAUACAUACAU
Homalodisca vitripennis (glassy-winged sharpshooter) is the source of this 139-nucleotide small nuclear RNA. RefSeq annotates it as U4 spliceosomal RNA. The transcript has a single exon. Lineage: Eukaryota; Metazoa; Arthropoda; Insecta; Hemiptera; Cicadellidae. The record is from RefSeq and is a predicted model, not a curated record.